AAAAUCCCUCGAUUUUUUGAAUCGUGGGGGGUCAAGUCCCCCUUUCCCCA
RNAcentral lists this transfer RNA (50 nucleotides) under Eleocharis wichurae. Its description in RNAcentral is "partial tRNA-Leu". The record is from RNAcentral. Lineage: Eukaryota; Viridiplantae; Streptophyta; Magnoliopsida; Poales; Cyperaceae.